AUGAAUCGAAUGGUCCUUCGACCUUCGUUUGAUUCCGACGGCCGGCAUAGAUCUCAUGAGACCCGCCCACUAUUACUACGAAAAAAGCCCUGCCCUUUCCUUCGCUACUAGGAAAGUAAGCAACUUCUAUUAGCGCCGGACCUUGAGUCGAAUUGAUCGUGUCAUGUGCAACGUCCAUCAAUGAUGGUUCAUUAAUGUCCAUUGAUUUAGACUCCUUCCCCCUUCUCAACGUAGAAAAAGAUCGAGAGGGGCCCGAAAGCCCCCAAAGAACGGAAACGGAAUUCGAUCCCUGCCCUUCCCUUCGCUACUAAGAAAGUAAGCAACUUCUAUUAGUGCCGGACCUUGAGUCGAAUUGAUCGUGUCAUGUGCAACGUCCUAGCAUAGUGCCCGGCUUUCUUAGCAACCAAAGCUAGCUUACUAAGGUAGUUUACUUUUUCAUUUUGAAAAAAGAAGGCGAAGGCAUUUUUCCUUGAUUGCACGAGCUAGACAGCAAUCCAACAAACCCCCCCUUACUCACCUCAACAUCUAUAAAAAGA
This 536-nucleotide long non-coding RNA is filed under the name Nicotiana benthamiana. Its description in RNAcentral is "long non-coding RNA (NBEN_LNC037992)". The record is from RNAcentral. Lineage: Eukaryota; Viridiplantae; Streptophyta; Magnoliopsida; Solanales; Solanaceae.